RNAcentral lists this transfer RNA (74 nucleotides) under Oceanicella actignis. It matches the Rfam family "tRNA". Rfam says of the family: Transfer RNA (tRNA) molecules are approximately 80 nucleotides in length. The record is from Rfam by way of RNAcentral. Lineage: Bacteria; Pseudomonadati; Pseudomonadota; Alphaproteobacteria; Rhodobacterales; Paracoccaceae.
GGUCCCGUAGCUCAGCUGGAUAGAGCGCUGCCCUCCGAAGGCAGAGGCCACAGGUUCGAAUCCUGUCGGGACCG